This 70-nucleotide transfer RNA is filed under the name Alosa alosa (allis shad). RNAcentral describes it as "tRNA-OTHER". The record is from RNAcentral. Lineage: Eukaryota; Metazoa; Chordata; Actinopteri; Clupeiformes; Clupeidae.
GGCAUGGUGGAGCAGUGGUAACAUCACCGUCUGAUGAUCGGCAGCCCGGGUUUGAUUCCCAAACCCGCCA